GAGUUUGAUCUUGGCUCAGAACGAACGCUGGCGGCAUGCCUAACACAUGCAAGUCGAACGAGACCUUCGGGUCUAGUCGGCGCACGGGUGCGUAACGCGUGGGAAUCUGCCCUUGGGUUCGGAAGUAACAGUUAGAAAUAGGCUGCUAAUACCGGAUGAUGACUUCGGUCCAAAGAUUUAUCGCCCAGGGAUGAGCCCGCGUUCGGAUUAGCUUGUUGGUGAGGUAAAAAGCUCACCAAGGCGACCGAUCCGUAGCUGGUCUGAGAGGAUGAUCAGCCACACUGGGACUGAGACACGGCCCAGACUCCUAC
This 311-nucleotide ribosomal RNA is filed under the name uncultured Alphaproteobacteria bacterium. Its description in RNAcentral is "bacterial SSU rRNA". It matches the Rfam family "Bacterial small subunit ribosomal RNA", at positions 9 to 342 of the family's 1533-position model. Lineage: Bacteria; Pseudomonadati; Pseudomonadota; Alphaproteobacteria. The record is from RNAcentral.